RNAcentral lists this long non-coding RNA (688 nucleotides) under Marmota monax (woodchuck). The record is from RNAcentral. Lineage: Eukaryota; Metazoa; Chordata; Mammalia; Rodentia; Sciuridae.
GGGUGUCUGCGCGCGGCUCGCGUUUCCUCCUCCCUGGCUGGGCGAGCGCGGGGGAGGCGAGGGGAGGGCAGAAGACGGGAUCUCCCUACUCGGUCCCCUGAGAGGGGGACGCGGCGCACCCCCCCUCCCUUCCCCAUUGCGCCGUGUGACUCUGCCCGCGCCGCACGGCCGGGACUGACGAGUCACAGGCGAGCAACAGCUGCUGCAGUGCGGGUCCGCCGCGGCCUUCAUCCCCCUCCCGCACUCUCCCCAGCGGCCCAUCCUCAGCACAGUCCCCUGGGCUCCAGGCGCGGGAAGGGUGCUCUAGCCGCCGCCCCCACCCUGCCCCAGCGAAGGAUCCUGGCCCAGCGCACUCCUGGGAAGCCGAGGUCCCGGACCCGGCGCGUGAUUCGAGCCCUCGCGGCUGGAUGUGCGGUCGCACACUCUGUCCUCGGGAACCUAUUUAUAGAAGGUGGCACUGUCCCCGUCGCUAGUUCGGCCUGAGAGGCUCUCAGCAGGUGGCACUUGCCCGUCCGCUCUCCGCUGUCCCCCAGGAGCCUCGCCUUAUUUGCCCCCUCGCCUUCUCCCUCCAAAAUGGACUUGGGGAAAACUGCGCAGAACACCGGGAGGCGACCAAACCACCUGGCUCUCCCCCGCAUCACCCCUUCUGCCUGCGCUAGGGUUGGGUGAUGGGAGGAGUAAACCUAGG